AGAGCUUGCUCGAAGACGGUGAGAGUGGCGCACGGGUGCGUAACGCGUGAGCAACCUACCUCUAUCAGGGGGAUAGCCUCUCGAAAGAGAGAUUAACACCGCAUAAUAUAUCUGACCGGCAUCGGUURGMUAUUAAAUAUUUAUAGGAUAGAGAUGGGCUCGCGUGACAUUAGCUAGUUGGUAGGGUAACGGCUUACCAAGGCGACGAUGUCUAGGGGCUCUGAGAGGAGAAUCCCCCACACUGGUACUGAGACACGGACCAGACUCCUACGGGAGGCAGCAGUAAGGAAUAUUGGUCAAUGGGCGGAAGCCUGAACCAGCCAUGCCGCGUGCAGGAUGACUGCCCUAUGGGUUGUAAACUGCUUUUGUCCAGGAAUAAACCUUUCUACGUGUAGGRAGCUGAAUGUACUGGAAGAAUAAGGAUCGGCUAACUCCGUGCCAGCAGCCGCGGUAAUACGGAGGAUCCGAGCGUUAUCCGGAUUUAUUGGGUUUAAAGGGUGCGUAGGCGGCCUAUUAAGUCAGGGGUGAAAUACGGUGGCUCAACCAUCGCAGUGCCUUUGAUACUGAUGGGCUUGAAUCCAUUUGAAGUGGGCGGAAUAAGACAAGUAGCGGUGAAAUGCAUAGAUAUGUCUUAGAACUCCGAUUGCGAAGGCAGCUCACUAAGCUGGUAUUGACGCUGAUGCACGAAAGCGUGGGGAUCGAACAGGAUUAGAUACCCUGGUAGUCCACGCCCUAAACGAUGAUAACUCGAUGUUGGCGAUAGACAGCCAGCGUCCAAGCGAAAGCGUUAAGUUAUCCACCUGGGGAGUACGCCCGCAAGGGUGAAACUCAAAGGAAUUGACGGGGGCCCGCA
RNAcentral lists this ribosomal RNA (853 nucleotides) under Sphingobacterium sp. Its description in RNAcentral is "bacterial SSU rRNA". Lineage: Bacteria; Pseudomonadati; Bacteroidota; Sphingobacteriia; Sphingobacteriales; Sphingobacteriaceae. The record is from RNAcentral.